RNAcentral lists this long non-coding RNA (1136 nucleotides) under Acyrthosiphon pisum (pea aphid). RNAcentral describes it as "uncharacterized LOC103309386, transcript variant X1". The record is from RNAcentral. Lineage: Eukaryota; Metazoa; Arthropoda; Insecta; Hemiptera; Aphididae.
UUUACUGUCGGCCGACUUUAAUUAAAACAUUUCAUUAGGUACCUAUUUUAAAUUUGAACAGAAAUUCAGAAUAUACAUUGAACAUUCGUACAGUGUUGUAUUCUUACGUUUCAGUAAAAAAUUGACAUGCAUAAGUGUGUUCUUUUUAGUAAAACAUCCUAAGCAUCGCCUCGCCACAUUACCUUAAUUUUCAUUAAUUUCCAAAAAAAUGAAAAUAAAAGGAAAUAAUGGCUGAAAAUCUUCAAAUUAAAUGAUUACCUAAUUUCUAUCUAGAGCAGGAUCUGCAGUAAUCAUUUCACAAUCAGUGAUUAUAAACAAGGCUCAGUAUGUAGUAGAUAUUAUGGCCAGAGGCUGUCACAAAACAUAAUCCAAACCACUUGGAAAACUAGCUAUUAUUAUCUAAGAAAAAAUUAUACUUCUCCAACGAUGGAGAAAUAAAAGAUUUGGAGACAUUACGGUUGAUGAUUUUAAACUAUUCACCCAGGAAAGCCUUAAAAACUAUCUAAUUCACACACACUUAUUUCAUACAGUGGAUUAUACUUAUUAUGGUUUUCAAAACUAAAAUAUAUGAUUCCCACAUACAAGGAACUAGGUAGUCGAGGCAAUGUGUUGACAAUUUUUUGGAUGUGACUUUCUUUAAUAUAAUUCUGGCGGCUUAGAUGAAGCCAUACAAUAUUGGAGCUAAUUAUGAAACUUAAAGAGUUUACACACAUAUUUUGCCUGUGUCUUGUUCUAAACAAUUGGAUCAAAAGCCACUUCCAGCUGUUAUUACACAUAUAAUUUGUGAAGUCAUAACUAUCGUACAAGAUUUUUUGACAAACGCUUCACUUGUCAAAAUGGUACGCAUGAGCUGUGAAUAAAUAUAUAUUGAAGAUGUUGCUGAUACGAUGUUAAAACAAUCGGGGUGUCCUAUAUACAUACAAAUGCAGUUUACUGGUCAUCAAACCUGUUCCCAUUCAUGGAACUUACUUCUCAACAAGGAAAGACUAACUACUUUGAAAGAAAACUAUGCAAACACCAAUUACCUUCAGUUGCACUCUGAAUCAUAAUUGUGAAUAAAAUUAUUUGUCAAAGACUUAUUUAUAAUUAUAAGAAAACUUUAUUUUUUAAUUUUAUAAUUGAAGAGAAAAGUAUUU